GACGAACGCUGGCGGCGUGCUUAACACAUGCAAGUUGAACGGAAAGGCCCUGCUUUUGUGGGGUGCUCGAGUGGCGAACGGGUGAGUAACACGUGAGUAACCUGCCCUUGACUUUGGGAUAACUUCAGGAAACUGGGGCUAAUACCGGAUAGGAGCUCCUGCUGCAUGGUGGGGGUUGGAAAGUUUCGGCGGUGGGGAUGGACUCGCGGCUUAUCAGCUUGUUGGUGGGGUAGUGGCUUACCAAGGCUUUGACGGGUAGCCGGCCUGAGAGGGUGACCGGCCACAUUGGGACUGAGAUACGGCCCAGACUCCUACGGGAGGCAGCAGUGGGGAAUAUUGCACAAUGGGCGGAAGCCUGAUGCAGCAACGCCGCGUGCGGGAUGACGGCCUUCGGGUUGUAAACCGCUUUCGCCUGUGACGAAGCGUGAGUGACGGUAAUGGGUAAAGAAGCACCGGCUAACUACGUG
This 467-nucleotide ribosomal RNA is filed under the name uncultured bacterium. Its description in RNAcentral is "partial 16S ribosomal RNA". It matches the Rfam family "Bacterial small subunit ribosomal RNA", at positions 28 to 507 of the family's 1533-position model. The record is from RNAcentral.